AUUCUUCCAGUCAUGCUAUAUGGCUAUGAAUUCUGCAAUAUCACAGUCAUUCAAGAUCAAAAUUGCAUGUCAUCCAAGUUAUAGUGGACAGAUGCAUGGAGGGCAUAUGGCUUAUAAAAAUGUUUACUAAGUCUCUGGAUAGUGGCUGCUGGACGAGACUAGGCAAGUUGCUUGACUUCUGGGCUCUUGUCAAGGUUGGGAAUACUAAUGACAGUACUGAAGCAAUUUUAUUGUUGAUGACUAUUACUACAGAAGAAUAUUAUCAGUGUUGGAUGGGAGAUUGGAAUUUUAAUGGAUGUUUUAUAAAUGUGGACAUUACAUGUUUGAAAAUUAGGAAACAAACUAGAUGAAACACUUUUAUGAUGUUGUUCCCCAGCUCAAGAAUAUACAAUGGCUCCCUAUCACAGGAAUCAACUCAAACGCCUUAUCUUAGCAUCCAAUGUUCUUUACAGUUUGUCCCCACCUAACCUAUCCACUUCAAUUCUUUGCCUUUUGGGAUAAUUGGGCUAGUUUCUUCUAGCUUACAUUCUCUAAACAUUUCGUACACAUUCCCAACUCCAAGCAUUUGCUCAUGCUAUAACCAUUCCUAAAAUGCUCUUCCCACUCCUUUCUACCUUCAACAACUAACUUUUAUGCUUGUAUCCUCAGGGCCUAGAAUAAGGCCUAGCACAUAUACUUUUAAUCAAUGCUCAUUGAAUGAAAUAAAAUUCAGGAGUGUUUUAAUCGACUUAUAUUU
RNAcentral lists this long non-coding RNA (736 nucleotides) under Vombatus ursinus (common wombat). Its description in RNAcentral is "lncRNA (ENSVURG00010019778.1)". The record is from RNAcentral. Lineage: Eukaryota; Metazoa; Chordata; Mammalia; Diprotodontia; Vombatidae.